UUUUUAUUCUUUUAUUUCUUUUAAUUCCAUUUCUCUUUAAAAAUUCAUAUCUCUCUCAUUAUUGGUCCAAAAAUUAUGGGACUAGUUUCAUUUUUCUCCUUUUAAUUUCUACUUUCUAAAAAUGAUUUUUAAUAUUUUUUAUUUUAUCAUUUGAUAUUUUUUAGUAAUUUUCUCUUUUUUGGUUAUUUUUAAUUCAUUUAAAAUAGUUUUUAAUAUCCAAAAAAUACAAAAAUAUUUUUC
RNAcentral lists this long non-coding RNA (240 nucleotides) under Lathyrus oleraceus (garden pea). RNAcentral describes it as "Pisum sativum (pea) long non-coding RNA (PSAT_LNC028074)". The record is from RNAcentral. Lineage: Eukaryota; Viridiplantae; Streptophyta; Magnoliopsida; Fabales; Fabaceae.